Molecule: transfer RNA, 71 nt
Filed under: Marmota monax (woodchuck)
Lineage: Eukaryota; Metazoa; Chordata; Mammalia; Rodentia; Sciuridae
Description: tRNA.Ala
Rfam family: tRNA
About the family: Transfer RNA (tRNA) molecules are approximately 80 nucleotides in length. Their secondary structure includes four short double-helical elements and three loops (D, anti-codon, and T loops). Further hydrogen bonds mediate the characteristic L-shaped molecular structure. tRNAs have two regions of fundamental functional importance: the anti-codon, which is responsible for specific mRNA codon recognition, and the 3' end, to which the tRNAs corresponding amino acid is attached (by aminoacyl-tRNA synthetases). tRNAs cope with the degeneracy of the genetic code in two manners: having more than one tRNA (with a specific anti-codon) for a particular amino acid; and 'wobble' base-pairing, i.e. permitting non-standard base-pairing at the 3rd anti-codon position.
Source: RNAcentral
GGGGUUGUGGCUCAGUGGUAGAGUGCUUGCCUAGCAUGUGUGAGUCCCUGGGUUCGAUCCCCAGCACCACA